GAAAUCCUUGACCCAAUUGUACUAGGGUAAGGUUACAAAAUUAUAAUCCAAAUAGAAUGAUGAAACACAUAACCUAAUUGCACUAGGUUAAUGUAUUAUGGCAAAAAUCCAGCUUUGUGUCUGUAAGUCCCAAAGUCUUCAGAAAUGCUGUUUUAGCCCGGGACAGAUUUUCCAUGCAGCAGAUUUAGUCCUUUAUGCGUCCAGCUCCUUUCCAUCUCGUUUGUGAGCUUUCUUUUGCGUCAAGUAAGCCAUAAAUUGCUGUAUUUUGCAUCAUUUAUACCUGAAACUUUCCUAAUCACAUUUGUUAGCUCAUUUACAGGAAAAAGGACUAAAAGUGUACGAAAUAGAUAAUUAGUUCUCGAAACUAGGCUAAAAUAUGGGCAAAAUAUAUUGAUAUAGGCGCGUAAUUUCGCCUAUCAUCAACACCCCACACUUAGAGCUUUGUUCGUCCUCGAACAACAUAUCAUGUCCUUCUAAGCAUUGACUUAAGGUUUUUACAGAAACAACACAAAACAUUCUUCAAGACAAGCACAACAAUUAUCAACGAAGAGUAGCUUUCCGAUUAUAAGUAGAAACAAUUUAACCUCAAGCAUAGACUCGUGAUGGUGAUCAACUCGCAUGCAAACGUUUAAGGUACAUAGAAUCAUAUACAACUAUCCAAAACUCAUCAACCAUGUGUGUCUCACAAUAUAGUACCCAUAAUCACUCACAAGUAUAGCAUAUUUUUCAAACAUGGGCAGCAAAGUAUCCUUGCGCUCACUCUCACAAAGAAUUCAUAUGUAGCAGCUAAUGACCAUAGGCUUGCCCUUAAUGUAGUACUCCACUAAAUGUCGGAAUGUUAAGGUUAGGAUCAAGUAGGUCUUUUGAUGGUUGUAAUGUAGGCUAAGGGACGGGUAGGAUCAACUAUUUUGGCCAGAAAUAGUGACUAAGUUCCUAAGCACUUUAAUACAUCACAUUGUAUUAUUGACACUUUUUUGUAGCACCCUUGUUCUCCUCUUUUGUUUUUCAAUUUUAAAGCACAACUCACUUUUCAGCUUUCUUUUCCUUUUUCUUCUCACAACAUACCUCUUAUGAUAGCACUUUCUUUUUCAUAACAUAUUCAAGCACCAUUACAAUUUAAAGCAUCAUACUCAACCAAUUUCCUCUUAUGUUGUCACAUGACUUUUUCACUUUAAAGCACUUAGGAAUUUGGAUCAAAUUACGGUCUUGAAAAAAAAAUGAAUUAGGCUUACAUACAAGGUUGUCAAAGAAAUAGGCUAAAGGCUCAAAAGGGUUUAACUAGGAUGAUGUCCAUGGGUAGGUAAAACUGAAGGUAAACAAAUAUAGGUUGCCAAAGAAAUGCCUAAAUCAUAUCCUAAACUUACACUCCUUAUUUUCGCUUUGCAUACAUACCAGGCAAGUUCUAGCAUCAGCCACAUACAUAGAAUAUACUAUUAUCUCACACACACAAGGCACAUGGUCGACUUGAUUGGUAGCAAUAUAGACUCUCAACCCAACAAGUGAAGGAAUUGAAUCACACACUAUCACAUAAUGAGUCACAACUAGAGCCUAAAUGUCUCAAUAGUCACAAUUGUAAUACAUACUAUUGUUAUAAUCUCAUGCUGCCUAUUAAAAUAAUUUCAUGCGAGGCUAGAAAAAUUUUAACUACUAAAAACUAAAAAAAAAACGUCACACGAAAAAAAUCACAAAAAAAAAUCGGACUCAAAACAAAAUAAAUAAAACAAAAUAAACAAGCAAACAUACAAAUAUAGCAUGCAGAUUCUGCCGACACCCCACACUUAGACUAGACACUGCCCUCAGUGGAAAAUAAAGUCGAAGAACCUGAUUAGUCGGACUCUUCCUCAAUGUCAUACCCCCUUCGUUCGAGUCAUCGUAAGAGUCAUCGUCAGAGUUCUCCUCAGCAUCAGAAUCAGGCAAGCGUCUAUCAUCAUCAGUUGGCACGUCAUCAUCAAGAGGUUCCUCGAAAUAUACUCCCACUCCACACAUCUCCCGGGCAUGUCUGUUCAUUGGGUAGUCGUGGUCCAGCUGUUGGAGCUCUUCAGCAGUUGGAAUACGUCCACCACUCAUCAUAGUGAAUCUCGUCAUGCCAUAGGUCAGAAUGUCUCCCCCCCCUCUUUAAAAUCUCUAACAUGAUAGGGUAUUUAUAAUACUCCUAUCCUACUCCUACUAAACUAAUAAAAUAAAUAACCAAAUCCUAAUAUACUAAUGAACUCCUUGACCCAAUUGUACUAGGGUAAGGUUACAAAAUUAUAAUCCAAAUAGAAUGAUGAAACAAAUAACCUAAUUGCACUAGGUUAAUGUAUUAUGGCAAAAAUCCAGCUUUGUGUCUGUAAGUCCCAAAGUCUUCAGAAAUGCUGUUUUAGCCCGGGACAGAUUUUCCAUGCAGCAGAUUUAGUCCUUUAUGCGUCCAGCUCCUUUCCAUCUCGUUUGUGAGCUUUCUUUUGCGUCAAGUAAGCCAUAAAUUGCUGUAUUUUGCAUCAUUUAUACCUGAAACUUUCCUAAUCACAUUUGUUAGCUCAUUUACAGGAAAAAGGACUAAAAGUGUACGAAAUAGAUAAUUAGUUCUCGAAACUAGGCUAAAGUAUGGGCAAAAUAUAUUGAUAUAGGCGCGUAAUUUCGCCUAUCAUCA
Molecule: long non-coding RNA, 2629 nt
Filed under: Capsicum annuum
Lineage: Eukaryota; Viridiplantae; Streptophyta; Magnoliopsida; Solanales; Solanaceae
Description: long non-coding RNA (CANN_LNC014249)
Source: RNAcentral